GACAGAGGGUGCAAGCGUUGUUCGGAAUUAUUGGGCGUAAAGCGCGUGUAGGCGGCUUUGCAAGUCGGGUGUGAAAGCCCUCAGCUUAACUGAGGAAGUGCGCCCGAAACUGCUUGGCUUGAGUACCGGAGAGGAUGGCGGAAUUCCCCAAGUAGAGGUGAAAUUCGUAGAUAUGGGGAGGAACACCGGUGGCGAAGGCGGCCAUCUGGACGGAUACUGACGCUGAGACGCGAAAGCGUGGGUAGCAAACAGG
RNAcentral lists this ribosomal RNA (253 nucleotides) under uncultured bacterium. RNAcentral's name for it is "partial 16S ribosomal RNA". It matches the Rfam family "Bacterial small subunit ribosomal RNA", at positions 524 to 776 of the family's 1533-position model. The record is from RNAcentral.